UACGUAGGGUGCAAGCGUUGCCCGGAUUUAUUGGGCGUAAAGGGCGCGUAGGCGGCCACGCACGUCCGUUGUGAAAUCGCCCGGCUCAACUGGGCGGGGUCGGCGGAUACGGCGUGGCUGGAGCAAGCUAGGGGGCAAUGGAAUUCCCGGUGUAGUGGUGGAAUGCGUAGAUAUCGGGAGGAACACCAGUGGCGAAGGCGGUUGCCUGGAGCUUUGCUGACGCUGAGGCGCGAAAGCCAGGGGAGCGAACGGG
This 253-nucleotide ribosomal RNA is filed under the name uncultured bacterium. Its description in RNAcentral is "partial 16S ribosomal RNA". It matches the Rfam family "Bacterial small subunit ribosomal RNA", at positions 524 to 776 of the family's 1533-position model. The record is from RNAcentral.